This 85-nucleotide transfer RNA is filed under the name Felis catus (domestic cat). It matches the Rfam family "tRNA". Rfam says of the family: Transfer RNA (tRNA) molecules are approximately 80 nucleotides in length. Their secondary structure includes four short double-helical elements and three loops (D, anti-codon, and T loops). Further hydrogen bonds mediate the characteristic L-shaped molecular structure. tRNAs have two regions of fundamental functional importance: the anti-codon, which is responsible for specific mRNA codon recognition, and the 3' end, to which the tRNAs corresponding amino acid is attached (by aminoacyl-tRNA synthetases). tRNAs cope with the degeneracy of the genetic code in two manners: having more than one tRNA (with a specific anti-codon) for a particular amino acid; and 'wobble' base-pairing, i.e. permitting non-standard base-pairing at the 3rd anti-codon position. Lineage: Eukaryota; Metazoa; Chordata; Mammalia; Carnivora; Felidae. The record is from Rfam by way of RNAcentral.
GCCUGCGUGGCUCAGUCUGUUGAGUGUCUGACUUCGGCUCAGGUCAUGAUCUCACAGUUUGUGGGUUCGAGCCCCACAUCAGGCU